UACGGAGGGUGCAAGCGUUAUCCGGAUUCACUGGGUUUAAAGGGUGCGUAGGUGGGCAGGUAAGUCAGUGGUGAAAUCUCCGGGCUUAACUCGGAAACUGCCGUUGAUACUAUCUGUCUUGAAUAUCGUGGAGGUUAGCGGAAUAUGUCAUGUAGCGGUGAAAUGCUUAGAUAUGACAUAGAACACCAAUUGCGAAGGCAGCUGGCUACACAUAUAUUGACACUGAGGCACGAAAGCGUGGGGAUCAAACAGG
This 253-nucleotide ribosomal RNA is filed under the name uncultured bacterium. Its description in RNAcentral is "partial 16S ribosomal RNA". It matches the Rfam family "Bacterial small subunit ribosomal RNA", at positions 524 to 776 of the family's 1533-position model. The record is from RNAcentral.